Corticium candelabrum is the source of this 1175-nucleotide long non-coding RNA. RefSeq lists it as uncharacterized. Lineage: Eukaryota; Metazoa; Porifera; Homoscleromorpha; Homosclerophorida; Plakinidae. The transcript is spliced from 4 exons. The record is from RefSeq and is a predicted model, not a curated record.
CAUGCACAACGUCAGCAGCUUGCAGCGAUUGCAAUACGAUCUGACACAGUGGCAAAACCAAAAGGAAGGAUGCUGAGUGACAAAAGGAGAGUCUCGUGGCCUAAGUUCAGGAGAGAGUCGACCUUUUUUAUUACCUCUCUAGAUACAGCUACACAACCCGACCAUGUAACUAGAGGAAGCAAGUCAGCUUAGGUUAGAAUUAUCUACUAUCAUGCAGAUCUAGCUACACAGUCCUGCUAGACACAUCGUUAUCAACUGGUGGAGAAACGACACCUGACCCCAACAUUUACGUAUAUCCGUCAAAUUCUCUAUAGAGUGGUCAUAUCGCCAACGCAGCUGCAACGUUGUUAGAUCCAAAAUGGUCUGUGACCGCUCCCUGACCUAACGACCGAGAUGUGUCCACAUGUCGUCAUUGUUGCAACAUUAUAUACUUUGUCUCAAAGCAUGGUAUAUAAGUUCGCAAGACAGGCACUCUAGUCAUUGUUGCUUUCAAGAAUCUUGUAGUGAGUGUACACAGUGGUUGAUCAUGAAUAUGUGGCAUUGCUUCGCUCUUGGCUUUCUUCUGGUAGCCCACGUUGAGAACGUAUUAGCGGGAAACUACGUUCAGGGCUUCAAUGUAAUGUCCAAAACAAAAAAUGAAUUUACGCCUGAUUUAAGGUUUGUAGCUAAGGUCGUUUUUGAGAGGAGAACCCUUGGGCGAGCCAUUUCCUAUCUCUGAUUCGAUGCAAAUUAUCGACUCUACUGAAUUAUACAGAAAAUAUGGGAGACAACGCUAUGCUGAAAACACCGUCUGUGAGUACCAUUUCAUUGUCGACAGGGUUGGAGUUUUGCAAUUUCACAAAAUUCAUCUCGAUCAACCGGUGUCCGAGUCGGAUGCUCUUGUAUCAUACGAUGAAUGCGAUAAAGCAACUCAUGCCGAGCGAAGAGACCGCGACUACAUUAAGCUGAAUGUCAACUUUGCGAGUGGCCGAUCAAACGUGUUCUGUGGCCAACAGAGUAGGCAUGUAAAACGUUUAAUACGAAGCCAGGAUUUGCCUGAAGUAAACGGGCAACGAGAAUUAAUCAUUACCUUCUGGUCGGAUGGCUCACAAACAGGUAAUGGUUUUUACGGCUACUAUUAUGGCACCAAGAAGUAACAAAAAUUAAAUAAAAAUUAAGACUGAAGGCCAUUUAUU